Molecule: ribosomal RNA, 118 nt
Filed under: Lepisosteus oculatus (spotted gar)
Lineage: Eukaryota; Metazoa; Chordata; Actinopteri; Semionotiformes; Lepisosteidae
Source: RNAcentral
ACCAGCAGCUACGUAUACCUGCAAUUCAGAACUGGCAACCCACUAAAGCUAAAAAGGUGUGAGCCUGGCCAGUAUCUGGAUGGGAGACCAUCUGGGAAACCUAAGGUUGCUGCUGGAA